AGCAUGUGGGUAUUAAAAUCUACCAAGGGAUCCAAGAGCUUUGUGUGGGAAACAUUAGAGAGCAUCUCCUAACCUCCUUGAGAGCACUCCUAGCAUCCUACUUCUUCUUGAGGGAGAAAUUCUUUCUUGAGCUUAGGUAAGGAAGAGAUUAAGGCUCUCGCCUUCAUUAUUGGUGUUGUGGUGCUUUAAUUGCUAAGUUGGAGGACAAAGGCAAC
RNAcentral lists this long non-coding RNA (215 nucleotides) under Prunus persica (peach). Its description in RNAcentral is "long non-coding RNA (PPER_LNC003850)". The record is from RNAcentral. Lineage: Eukaryota; Viridiplantae; Streptophyta; Magnoliopsida; Rosales; Rosaceae.